This 387-nucleotide ribosomal RNA is filed under the name uncultured bacterium. RNAcentral describes it as "bacterial SSU rRNA". It matches the Rfam family "Bacterial small subunit ribosomal RNA", at positions 28 to 417 of the family's 1533-position model. The record is from RNAcentral.
GACGAACGCUGGCGGCGUGCUUAACACAUGCAAGUCGAGCGGUAAGGCCCUUUCGGGGUACACGAGCGGCGAACGGGUGAGUAACACGUGGGUGACCUGCCCUCAGCUCUGGGAUAAGCCUGGGAAACCGGGUCUAAUACCGGAUAUGACUCCAUGACGCAUGUUGUGGGGUGGAAAGCCUUGUGCGGCUGAGGAUGGGCCCGCGGCCUAUCAGCUUGUUGGUGGGGUGAUGGCCUACCAAGGCGACGACGGGUAGCCGGCCUGAGAGGGCGACCGGCCACACUGGGACUGAGACACGGCCCAGACUCCUACGGGAGGCAGCAGUGGGGAAUCUUGCGCAAUGGGCGAAAGCCUGACGCAGCGACGCCGCGUGAGGGAUGACGGCCU